Molecule: long non-coding RNA, 1154 nt
Organism: Plutella xylostella (diamondback moth)
Lineage: Eukaryota; Metazoa; Arthropoda; Insecta; Lepidoptera; Plutellidae
Source: RefSeq, a predicted model, not a curated record
GUUGUACCUAUUGCAUGAAUAGGAGCUGUCAUUGACGUUCCUACACGUCCCAUAACAUCUUCGUCUUUGUCCUUCACACUUUAGGUUAGGCAAAUGACUGUUCUACCAACCAUACAUCAGUAUUCAACGCAGGCGUCGCGAGAUAUUAAUACUGUUUGAACACAUUGUAAUGUACUCACAUUACAACGUGACUAUAAAGUGUGAAAUCCCUAAUAUUCUUUUUCAAAUUAUGUAAAUUAUUCGGCAACAAAUGUCACACUUAACAUGAAGUGCAUGAAAGACAGACGGAGACAAGUUUAGCGGUCACUUUGCAAUGCACAAAUAAUGUAGGUACGACCCCCAAGUCUCCUUUUCUUCUGCCGAAAUAAAAUAGAUCAUUAUCAGCUGAGUAUUUCUGGUAUUAGCUGUCGCUGUGACAUAUUGAGGACAAUGGCCAGCGGAUCUGUAGUGUUUUUGUGGCCAUUAGCGUUUUAAUAACUGUCCAUUAUAGUUGUUCGUGAGAUGUCCUAUAUGGCAUGCAUGUGUUUGUGGUGUUAAAUGUGUCAUUGUGAUGGUGGAGCUCAGGGCCGGGAUGCGUCCUGGUAUAUAAGGCCGUGUCUGGACCGCUGGUGGCAGACGAGUCCCAGCCCCCGAGAGCAGCACGCCAGUCUAGCAGCAGUCUAGAUCAGGUCCUUGUGUUAGCUGAGUUUGUGAAUUAAACGGAGCAAUAUGUUCAAGUUGGCCGUACUCCUGGUGGCCGUGGUCGCGAUGCUGGCUCCAGCGGCGGCCAAGCCUGCGGUACUUGUAGAAACGCCAGCGUACCCGUGGGUGACCUAUUCCUCGCCCGCAGCCGUCGGCGACGGCAUCGUCUACCCCCUGUACUAUAGCCCUUACGCGUACAACCCGUGGGGGUAUGCCUCCUCGUGGUUUUGGUAAUUUUGUGUGACUGAAGAUUAAUUAUGUUUAAUCUGUUGUGAUUAUUGUUUAUGCUAAAAGUUAUAGUCCAGUACGGGUGUUCGAUUUGUUAACGAAAAUGUACAGUUUAAUGUCAAAAAGGGAUAAGGUAGGAUUAUGUAUCUCUGUUUACAUAAUAUAUUAUUUAAAUUAGAGUAAUGAUUUGUUAUUUACAAAUGGGAACAUAAUAAUGAUAAUAAUAAAAAAAAAGUGGCUGAUUU